RNAcentral lists this ribosomal RNA (1450 nucleotides) under uncultured organism. RNAcentral's name for it is "16S ribosomal RNA". It matches the Rfam family "Bacterial small subunit ribosomal RNA". The record is from RNAcentral.
AUGAACGCUAGCUACAGGCUUAACACAUGCAAGUCGAGGGGCAGCAUGGUCUUAGCUUGCUAAGGCCGAUGGCGACCGGCGCACGGGUGAGUAACGCGUAUCCAACCUGCCUUACACUCUUGGACAGCCUUCUGAAAGGGAGAUUAAUACAAGAUGUUAUCAUGAGUAAGCAUUUUCGCAUGAUUAAAGGUUUACCGGUGUAAGAUGGGGAUGCGUUCCAUUAGAUAGUAGGCGGGGUAACGGCCCACCUAGUCUUCGAUGGAUAGGGGUUCUGAGAGGAAGGCCCCCCACAUUGGAACUGAGACACGGUCCAAACUCCUACGGGAGGCAGCAGUGAGGAAUAUUGGUCAAUGGACGAGAGUCUGAACCAGCCAAGUAGCGUGAAGGAUGAAGGUUCUAUGGAUUGUAAACUUCUUUUAUACGGGAAUAAACGAAUCCACGUGUGGAUUUUUGCAUGUACCGUAUGAAUAAGGAUCGGCUAACUCCGUGCCAGCAGCCGCGGUAAUACGGAGGAUCCGAGCGUUAUCCGGAUUUAUUGGGUUUAAAGGGAGCGUAGAUGGGUUGUUAAGUCAGUUGUGAAAGUUUGCGGCUCAACCGUAAAAUUGCAAUUGAUACUGGCAGUCUUGAGUACAGUUGAGGUAGGCGGAAUUCGUGGUGUAGCGGUGAAAUGCUUAGAUAUCACGAAGAACUCCGAUUGCGAAGGCAGCUUACUAACCUGUAACUGACAUUGAUGCUCGAAAGUGUGGGUAUCAAACAGGAUUAGAUACCCUGGUAGUCCACACGGUAAACGAUGAAUACUCGCUGUAGGCGAUAUACAGUCUGCGGCCAAGCGAAAGCAUUAAGUAUUCCACCUGGGGAGUACGCCGGCAACGGUGAAACUCAAAGGAAUUGACGGGGGCCCGCACAAGCGGAGGAACAUGUGGUUUAAUUCGAUGAUACGCGAGGAACCUUACCCGGGCUUAAAUUGCAACCGAAUAUGGCGGAAACGCUAUAGCUAGCAAUAGCGGUUGUGAAGGUGCUGCAUGGUUGUCGUCAGCUCGUGCCGUGAGGUGUCGGCUUAAGUGCCAUAACGAGCGCAACCCUUGCCGAUAGUUACUAACAGGUCAUGCUGAGGACUCUGUCGGGACUGCCAUCGUAAGAUGUGAGGAAGGUGGGGAUGACGUCAAAUCAGCACGGCCCUUACGUCCGGGGCUACACACGUGUUACAAUGGGGGGUACAGAGGGCUGCUACCACGCAAGUGGAUGCCAAUCCCAAAAACCUCUCUCAGUUCGGAUUGAAGUCUGCAACCCGACUUCAUGAAGCUAGAUUCGCUAGUAAUCGCGCAUCAGCCACGGCGCGGUGAAUACGUUCCCGGGCCUUGUACACACCGCCCGUCAAGCCAUGGGAGCCGGGGGUACCUGAAGUGCGUAACCGCAAGGAGCGCCCUAGGGUAAAACUGGUGGCUGGGGC